GUCUCCGUAGUUUAAUGGAUAGAAUUUCAGAUUCCGGUUCUGAAGGUCGGGGUUCGAUUCCCCGCGGGGAUA
RNAcentral lists this transfer RNA (72 nucleotides) under Bacteroidales bacterium. Its description in RNAcentral is "tRNA-Arg". It matches the Rfam family "tRNA". From Rfam's summary of the family: Transfer RNA (tRNA) molecules are approximately 80 nucleotides in length. Their secondary structure includes four short double-helical elements and three loops (D, anti-codon, and T loops). Further hydrogen bonds mediate the characteristic L-shaped molecular structure. tRNAs have two regions of fundamental functional importance: the anti-codon, which is responsible for specific mRNA codon recognition, and the 3' end, to which the tRNAs corresponding amino acid is attached (by aminoacyl-tRNA synthetases). tRNAs cope with the degeneracy of the genetic code in two manners: having more than one tRNA (with a specific anti-codon) for a particular amino acid; and 'wobble' base-pairing, i.e. permitting non-standard base-pairing at the 3rd anti-codon position. RNAcentral also lists the same sequence under 2 other names. Lineage: Bacteria; Pseudomonadati; Bacteroidota; Bacteroidia; Bacteroidales. The record is from RNAcentral.